Long non-coding RNA from Oryza sativa Japonica Group (Japanese rice), 1671 nucleotides. RefSeq lists it as uncharacterized. The record is from RefSeq and is a predicted model, not a curated record. NCBI's taxonomy places the organism in Eukaryota, Viridiplantae, Streptophyta, Magnoliopsida, Poales, Poaceae.
CCCUCUCUCUCUCUCUCUCUCUCUCUCUCACGCGCACGGCAGCAGGCGGCGGCGGCGGCGCACACGCACCGGAAGCGGCGGCGAGGACAGCCGCAAUAGUUCGAGGGGGUAAUUCGUACUUUUUCCUUUUACUUAUCUAGAAAAUGCAAACAAUAAAAUCUGAAAGCUGUGUAAUUGGGGAUUGAACACCUUUGCAUAACUUCUUAUAAACAUCUCACUUUUCUCAUAUCUGCGUCUAUUCAGGGCAGAUUUAUUUGCAUGUUGCUGAAUGGUGACUAUGUGGCUGGGUGCAUUUCACUUUACUCAUUGUCUACCAGUGAUCAGAGCAGACCUUUUUUGCCUGUUGAGUAAAUUGUGGCCUUUGUGGCAGGGCGUAUACAUUUAUGUGUCUCAUAAUUUGUUGUCUUGUACUCUUGUAGAAUAUUGCAAUUAUACUCUUGUAGAUUAAAUUUGUGCAAGUAAGUAAUCUAUUGUUGUUGGCGGCUCGGCUGGUACGCUUUCGAGAAUUUAAUCUCUUUCUUUCUUUUGCAAAAUGAGUAGAAUUUCAGCCUUCUUGGAGAGGUUUGUUCUCUUUGCCUGGUUACUAGAUAGCCUAGAAGAGCAUUUUUUAAAUUUAUUUAGUCAAAAGUGAUUUUUAGUGAUAUUUCCAGAAACUGUGCUAAAAAUUACCAUGUUUCUAUAUCCAGGUUCCAGCUCAUUCUUUUCAUUUUGAUAAGCAAACUAGGUGUCCUUUUUUCAUAAGCAGGAAGGGAAAUCUUAGGAUAAAUUAGUACCCUUCCUGUUUUUAAAAUUUAUUAUAAGAUACGUUGAAGUAUUCUUUUGAAAUAAAAUUGGAAUUUAAAGCAAUCUUCCAGGCCGUUAAUUGGGGCCAUACAGACUGGGUCUUCACUUUUCUAAUGCCUUUCGGUCUGAAUUAUGUUUCGUAUAGCUGCUCCUUUUCUUUUCAGGGCAGGAAGCUGCACCUCGUCCAUGUUGUGCUGUCCAGGGUCCAGGCUCCAGGCUCGCUUGCAACUGUGGGCAAAUCUCGUGGUAUUUCGUGGCCGCUACUCCACCAUUUCAUGCUAAGCAGCUAAUGCCUGUCGGGCUAAUGGCAUCACGCAUUUCAUUAGCUACUGACAAAAAAUGAUAUUCUCUCCUCCUGAUGAUGGUUGCCAGCAGUGAGCGUUACAGUGAACUGCUCCUUUCCAAUGGAGCCUUGGCACGAAAGCGACCUGGAUUUUUCGAGGCUGCCACUACGUGACAACAAUUGUGAUAGGCAGUUUGGUGGUGGCCGCAUGCAGCUGCUUGCCUUGACUGAAAAUUGAUUUUCCAGCUUGUGACCACUGUUUCUGGCUGUCAGCUUGCUCCGGAGAUACAUACCAUGUGACCCCAUGGAUCAGUGGCAUGGAAUUCCUUUGGUGUUUUCAGGUUGCUUGAAUUUCUGGGAAGCUUCCUGUUAGGCUACAACGUUAACAGUGUUUGAGCCAGUUCGUUUUUAGUACUCCGUACAUUUCAAUCCGUGGUAAGACCUGAAAAAAUUUCACGUGUGUAGCCAUGCUCUGAUUUAAGCCUGUUCGGUCGCUUUGUACAGCAGUACAGGCCAGGUCAUCUGCAUUGGUUGCUGGGUGUCCGUAUACGAUUUUACCUGUGCCUGGUCACCUGGCCUUGCUGCCUUGCAUAUGAUAAGCUGUA